AGAAUCAACGCUGGCGGCGUGCCUAACACAUGCAAGUCGAACGAGAAAGGGGUAGCAAUACCCUGAGUAAAGUGGCGCACGGGUGAGUAACACGUGACUAACCUACCCUGGAGUGGGGGAUAACUGAGGGAAACCUUAGCUAAUACCGCAUAAUACCUACGGGUCAAAGGAGCAAUUCGCUUUGGGAGGGGGUCGCGGCCGAUUAGUUAGUUGGCGGGGUAAUGGCCCACCAAGACGAUGAUCGGUAUCCGGCCUGAGAGGGCGCACGGACACACUGGAACUGAAACACGGUCCAGACUCCUACGGGAGGCAGCAGUGGGGAAUUUUGCGCAAUGGGGGAAACCCUGACGCAGCAACGCCGCGUGGAGGAUGAAGUACUUCGGUACGUAAACUCCUUUCGAUCGGGACGAUUAUGACGGUACCGAGAGAAGAAGCCCCGGCUAACUUCGUGCCAGCAGCCGC
RNAcentral lists this ribosomal RNA (462 nucleotides) under uncultured bacterium. Its description in RNAcentral is "SSU rRNA". It matches the Rfam family "Bacterial small subunit ribosomal RNA", at positions 26 to 518 of the family's 1533-position model. The record is from RNAcentral.